AAGAAACCUUGUCUGAGGGACCUCUUCCUGAAAGUCAAAAAGAACCUUGGAAUUCAGUUCUUAACACACACUCUAGAGUUCAUGCUAUGGUUAUCAGGAUAAAUCUAUGGAAAAUAAAGCUGAACAGAAACUGCAGAUCAUUAACUAGCUUAACCUUGUCAAAUGGGGAUAAAACCGGAAGUGCCAUGUGACUUUGACUGACAGAAAUGAAAACUGAUGAUGAAACACACUGAAGAGAAGAUAGUAAAAGAAUUCAUAAGGCAGUCGUUCGACCGAGAGUUCGACCAGGAGACUGGGAGUUUGACUAGGUGACUGGGAG
This is a long non-coding RNA of Eptesicus fuscus (big brown bat), 319 nucleotides long. RefSeq lists it as uncharacterized. The transcript is spliced from 3 exons. The record is from RefSeq and is a predicted model, not a curated record. NCBI's taxonomy places the organism in Eukaryota, Metazoa, Chordata, Mammalia, Chiroptera, Vespertilionidae.